This 253-nucleotide ribosomal RNA is filed under the name uncultured bacterium. RNAcentral describes it as "partial 16S ribosomal RNA". It matches the Rfam family "Bacterial small subunit ribosomal RNA", at positions 524 to 776 of the family's 1533-position model. The record is from RNAcentral.
GACGAAGCGUGCAAACGUUAUUCGGAAUCACUGGGCUUAAAGCGUGCGUAGGCGGCUGAGAAAGUUGGGUGUGAAAUCCCUCGGCUCAACCGAGGAAUUGCGCUCAAAACUACUUGGCUUGAGGGAGUUAGAGGUGAGCGGAACUAAUGGUGGAGCGGUGAAAUGCGUUGAUAUCAGUAGGAACACCGGUGGCGAAAGCGGCUCACUGGGACUCUUCUGACGCUGAGGCACGAAAGCUAGGGGAGCGAACGGG